This 492-nucleotide ribosomal RNA is filed under the name uncultured bacterium. RNAcentral's name for it is "partial 16S ribosomal RNA". It matches the Rfam family "Bacterial small subunit ribosomal RNA", at positions 29 to 507 of the family's 1533-position model. The record is from RNAcentral.
AGUGAACGCUGGCGGUAGGCCUAACACAUGCAAGUCGAACGGCAGCACAGUAAGAGCUUGCUCUUACGGGUGGCGAGUGGCGGACGGGUGAGGAAUACAUCGGAAUCUACUUUUUCGUGGGGGAUAACGUAGGGAAACUUACGCUAAUACCGCAUACGACCUACGGGUGAAAGCAGGGGAUCUUCGGACCUUGCGCGAUUGAAUGAGCCGAUGUCGGAUUAGCUAGUUGGCGGGGUAAAGGCCCACCAAGGCGACGAUCCGUAGCUGGUCUGAGAGGAUGAUCGGCCACACGGGAACUGGGACACGGUCCAGACUCCUACGGGAGGCAGCAGUGGGGAAUAUUGGACAAUGGGCGCAAGCCUGAUCCAGCCAUACCGCGUGGGUGAAGAAGGCCUUCGGGUUGUAAAGCCCUUUUGUUGGGAAAGAAAAGCAGCAGGUUAAUACCCCGCUGUUCUGACGGUACCCAAAGAAUAAGCACCGGCUAACUUCGUG